RNAcentral lists this ribosomal RNA (468 nucleotides) under uncultured bacterium. RNAcentral describes it as "partial 16S ribosomal RNA". It matches the Rfam family "Bacterial small subunit ribosomal RNA", at positions 28 to 507 of the family's 1533-position model. The record is from RNAcentral.
GACGAACGCUGGCGGCGUGCUUAACACAUGCAAGUCGAACGGAAAGGCCCUGCUUUUGUGGGGUGCUCGAGUGGCGAACGGGUGAGUAACACGUGAGUAACCUGCCCUUGACUUUGGGAUAACUUCAGGAAACUGGGGCUAAUACCGGAUAGGAGCUCCUGCUGCAUGGUGGGGGUUGGAAAGUUUCGGCGGUUGGGGAUGGACUAGCGGCUUAUCAGCUUGUUGGUGGGGUAGUGGCUUACCAAGGCUUUGACGGGUAGCCGGCCUGAGAGGGUGACCGGCCACAUUGGGACUGAGAUACGGCCCAGACUCCUACGGGAGGCAGCAGUCGGGAAUAUUGCACAAUGGGCGGAAGCCUGAUGCAGCAACGCCGCGUGCGGGAUGACGGCCUUCGGGUUGUAAACCGCUUUCGCCUGUGACGAAGCGUGAGUGACGGUAAUGGGUAAAGAAGCACCGGCUAACUACGUG